UACGUAGGGCGCAAGCGUUGUCCGGAAUUAUUGGGCGUAAAGAGCUCGUAGGCGGUUUGUCACGUCUGCUGUGAAAUCCCGAGGCUCAACCUCGGGCCUGCAGUGGGUACGGGCAGACUGGAGUGCGGUAGGGGAGAAUGGAAUUCCUGGUGUAGCGGUGGAAUGCGCAGAUAUCAGGAGGAACACCGAUGGCGAAGGCAGUUCUCUGGGCCGUAACUGACGCUGAGGAGCGAAAGCGUGGGGAGCGAACAGG
Molecule: ribosomal RNA, 253 nt
Filed under: uncultured bacterium
Lineage: Bacteria
Description: partial 16S ribosomal RNA
Rfam family: Bacterial small subunit ribosomal RNA
Source: RNAcentral